RNAcentral lists this ribosomal RNA (472 nucleotides) under Escherichia coli. RNAcentral's name for it is "bacterial SSU rRNA". It matches the Rfam family "Bacterial small subunit ribosomal RNA", at positions 127 to 594 of the family's 1533-position model. Lineage: Bacteria; Pseudomonadati; Pseudomonadota; Gammaproteobacteria; Enterobacterales; Enterobacteriaceae. The record is from RNAcentral.
UGCCUGAUGGAGGGGGAUAACUACUGGAAACGGUAGCUAAUACCGCAUAACGUCGCAAGACCAAAGAGGGGGACCUUCGGGCCUCUUGCCAUCGGAUGUGCCCAGAUGGGAUUAGCUAGUAGGUGGGGUAACGGCUCACCUAGGCGACGAUCCCUAGCUGGUCUGAGAGGAUGACCAGCCACACUGGAACUGAGACACGGUCCAGACUCCUACGGGAGGCAGCAGUGGGGAAUAUUGCACAAUGGGCGCAAGCCUGAUGCAGCCAUGCCGCGUGUAUGAAGAAGGCCUUCGGGUUGUAAAGUACUUUCAGCGGGGAGGAAGGGAGUAAAGUUAAUACCUUUGCUCAUUGACGUUACCCGCAGAAGAAGCACCGGCUAACUCCGUGCCAGCAGCCGCGGUAAUACGGAGGGUGCAAGCGUUAAUCGGAAUUACUGGGCGUAAAGCGCACGCAGGCGGAUUGUUAAGUCAGAUG